Molecule: ribosomal RNA, 253 nt
Filed under: uncultured bacterium
Lineage: Bacteria
Description: partial 16S ribosomal RNA
Rfam family: Bacterial small subunit ribosomal RNA
Source: RNAcentral
UACGUAGGGGGCUAGCGUUGUCCGGAAUCAUUGGGCGUAAAGAGCGUGUAGGCGGCCCGGUAAGUCCGCUGUGAAAGUCGGGGGCUCAACCCUCGAAUGCCGGUGGAUACUGUCGGGCUAGAGUGCGGAAGAGGCGAGUGGAAUUCCUGGUGUAGCGGUGAAAUGCGCAGAUAUCAGGAGGAACACCAAUUGCGAAGGCAGCUCGCUGGGACGUAACUGACGCUGAGACGCGAAAGCGUGGGAAGCAAACAGG